This 1026-nucleotide ribosomal RNA is filed under the name Triticum aestivum (bread wheat). RNAcentral's name for it is "partial small subunit ribosomal RNA". Lineage: Eukaryota; Viridiplantae; Streptophyta; Magnoliopsida; Poales; Poaceae. The record is from RNAcentral.
AUGCCAUGGCAUGCCAUUUGCACGCUCCAGAGCGCGCUACAGUGCGCCCCCUGCCAACCACCUCCGGCCACCUCAGGCCUCCCAGCGCGCCCGACGAGGUGCCUCGGCGUCUGCGUCACGCUAAACCCCUGUCCCCCUCCUCCUUCUCCCUCCUCUUGCCCCAGCUCGCACACGCGUCGGCCGCCCGAGCGCACCAGUGAGCACGCUCACACGCGCGAUGCCCCUGGCCCUCCUCCUGCUCUCUCUCUUCACCCGCUCGCUAUGGACCAACCCCACGAGCACCCCAGACACGCACAAACAGGCCCCCGUGACCCAUGGCGACGGCAACGAGCUCGCCGACGCACGAGUCCACGGUGGACCAUCGCGCGGCUAUAUAAAGCCUCCCCGUGCCGUUCUUCCCUCACCACUCACUCUCUGCACCACCCAAUACACCCCCUACAUCCCCAGUUCGUCUCCGGAGAGCUCGAGCUCCGCCGCUUCAGCUCGUCGGAGUUCGCGAGGUACAGGCCUCCACUGCCCCCGUUUGGCCUUGAUCUGAAACCGCCGCGGUCCACUGACCCUUUCCCCUCUUCUUCCCACUUCGUUUGCAGCCGGAAACGGCCGGAGCCGUCGACGCCCGAGGCUCCUCCGCCGCGUGAUCUCGUCGCCGGCAAACCAGGCCACCCCAACGACCCCCUUCAGCUCCACCAGGUCGGCGACUCGACGCUGAGCACGCCGGUGCCAUCCAUUUGCCCUGCCAUGCCGUGCAGCGACGCCGGUGAGCUCGCCUCCCUCUCUGGCCCAAGGUUGACGACGACGGCCGUGGGGCCCGUCGGUCAGCCUCACACUCUGACGGGUGGGCCCCACCAGUCAGGUUUAAAACGCACGCGCGCGCGUACCAGUUCGCUGCGUCGGCUGAAGGCGUAUUCGCCUUUACGCCUUCGACGUGGCGGCCUCGCGCGGGCUGAAUUCCCUCUGGGCCCGCUGCGCUACGGUUGUUCUGGCCCAGCAGGCACAGUGCCCCUUCUCCUUUUUCUUUUUUGUUAA